RNAcentral lists this unclassified non-coding RNA (252 nucleotides) under Hevea brasiliensis (rubber tree). Lineage: Eukaryota; Viridiplantae; Streptophyta; Magnoliopsida; Malpighiales; Euphorbiaceae. The record is from RNAcentral.
AUGCAGCACUUUGAUGAAAAUUAUGCUGCGCCUCACAUUUGUCCCCACUAGCUUGAAACAAUCUGCUACUGGAGUACAUUGGAGGAGGGGCUCUGUCACUGCGAUUCCCAGCAGGCUGAUGACCCAUAUUAUCCCUUGCCAAAUGAGACAGAGUCUCAGCAUAACGUAGUGCCUCAGGUAGAGGAUCCUUUACCAUAGCACGCAGCUCCAAUGAACUCAAUUUAAGUGCUUUCUCUGCUUUCUGUAUUUCGG